Molecule: ribosomal RNA, 497 nt
Filed under: uncultured bacterium
Lineage: Bacteria
Description: partial 16S ribosomal RNA
Rfam family: Bacterial small subunit ribosomal RNA
Source: RNAcentral
GAUGAACGCUGGCGGCGUGCCUAAUACAUGCAAGUCGAGCGAACAGACGAGGAGCUUGCUCCUCUGACGUUAGCGGCGGACGGGUGAGUAACACGUGGAUAACCUACCUAUAAGACUGGGAUAACUUCGGGAAACCGGAGCUAAUACCGGAUAAUAUAUUGAACCGCAUGGUUCAAUAGUGAAAGACGGUUUUGCUGUCACUUAUAGAUGGAUCCGCGCCGCAUUAGCUAGUUGGUAAGGUAACGGCUUACCAAGGCAACGAUGCGUAGCCGACCUGAGGGGGUGGUCGGCCACACUGGAAGUGAGACACGGUCCAGACUCCUACGGGAGGCAGCAGUAGGGAAUCUUCCGCAAUGGGCGAAAGCCUGACGGAGCAACGCCGCGUGAGUGAUGAAGGUCUUCGGAUCGUAAAACUCUGUUAUUAGGGAAGAACAAAUGUGUAAGUAACUAUGCACGUCUUGACGGUACCUAAUCAGAAAGCCACGGCUAACUACGUG